GGGCGGCGGAGGGGAGACCGGGCCGGCGGCGGCGGCGGCGGCAACGGGCGGGGGAGGGGGCUGAUCCCGCGUCUCCCCUCAGCAGACAAUACAAGCGCCUCGGACCGAGUCCCCGAACCUGCCCUAGCCAAAAUGGCGGCCGAGAAAGAGCGGAAGUGACGUUAAAGAGGCUUUUGCGCACUGGAGAUAUAAGCAAAAAAGGUAUAAGGUGACUUUAUGCAGAGAUCGAAGGAUGAGCAGCAGACAGUCAUCAAGAGCAUGGAAAUAGCAUUUCAGGCAGAGAAACAUGCUUAUGGCAUGGAAAGGAAAGGAAGGAGCACAAGACAGAGGUCAGAAAGGGAGGCAGAGGCCAACAAACACAUAGGGGCUUGAGGGACAAGGGAAUGAGCUUGAAUUUUUCCCUAGAUGUUAGCAGGAACUCCCUGAACUAUUCUAAACUGGAGGGCCAAUAAUCUGAUUGUUUUUGUGUAUCUAGCUUAAACUCAGAACAGCUUCCAAAAUCUUAUUCACAGAGGUUUUGUGAUCUUUGGGCUAAGAAUAUAAUUAUAUUGCCUACAAAUAAAUUAUGUAUACUUUACUAAUAUUUAACUAAAUUCUUGCGUUACUGUAUUAACAUUUCCAUGUUUAAUGAUAGCUAGCAUGCCUAUCUUAAUGAAUUUACUGGAAAUGAUUCAGCAUUUCACUAUUUGGUGUGAUAUUUGUAUUAGGACUGGGUUAUUUUUAUUAUGCUUAAGAGGUUUCCUUCUAUUCUUAAAGUUUUAACUAGAAAAUGGUAGUAAAUAAUAUCUCUUUUAGCAUCUACAGAGUUAACCACACUACUCAUGAAUGAAUUAUGAGUGAUUACCAAUAACGAGCCAUUCUGGCAUUCCUGGAAUAAACUCUUUUGUUCAUGGUG
Macaca mulatta (Rhesus monkey) is the source of this 895-nucleotide non-coding RNA. Lineage: Eukaryota; Metazoa; Chordata; Mammalia; Primates; Cercopithecidae. The record is from RefSeq and is a predicted model, not a curated record.